CUUGACUAUCCAAGUAAAUUUCCCCUCAUUCCCCCUAGGGGUAUGUUUACUAUAUACAGUUUUUGUCAGUUUUAUCUUGAUUAAAAGUUUCUUUUUGUUUCUGUAAUCUCAGAAUAAGUUUUUAUAGAUAUAAUGAAGACAUCAUAUAUUAAAACAUCAUUGAUUUUUUCGCAAGAAUUUUAUCUAAAUUUUUACGUCUUACAAUCUUCAAUACUAAUAUAUUUACAAAUUGAUUAAACUCGUGCAACAUACGACAAUGUGAAAUUCCAUCUUCAUUGAACAGAUCGUUAAGAUUUCUCUUCCUAUUCUUGGAAGGUUUCAAAACGUGUUCUGUCACACUUGACGAAGUUACCUGGUCGAGGUCAUCAGGAGAUCAGACCUCUCUAGAAGUUGAUAAAGGGAAUCCAAUUCCUAUGAAGAAAAUCCGCUAUUCUCUCCAGUCCUUUAUAAGAGAAUUGCAAUCGAGGUCGAGAAAGGGUUAGAGAAUAUCGCCAGGCCUUCGAAUUGGCGAACCUGGAAUUGAGAAAGCAUACGAGGCGAGGAGGUGAUUCGCAAUAAUUUGCACAAUCCACUGCUUUUACUUAUCUGCACAUUAUGUUUGCGUGUUCGCAUUCUGCAAAGACUGACCGCGUCGACUUGAUCGACAACUUUCAUACCAACUGUUCUAUAUAUAUAUUAUAUAUACAUGUAAUAUGUAUAUUUGUGUAUUUAUACACUCAUAAUAAAAUCUACACGGUGUGCAGAUUUUCGCAAAAAUGCUUUUUUAAAUUCUAAAAUUUUUAUAAGUAUUAGAAAUUUUAAAUUAUUAUUUUAUUUGUUUAUUUCUUAUUUUAUUUUGUUUGACAAGCAGAUUUUUAUAUUGUAUUUUUUUUUUAAACAAAAUGAAAAAUUACAAGCAACUUUGCAAACAUUUGUAUAUAAAACAAUAUCUAUAUUUAUACAAAUUUUUAAAACAAGAAAACAUUAUUUUUAUACAAAAUUUGAAUCAAUAUAUAUGUAUAAUAGUUCCAAUCAGUUGAUAUAUGUCGUGAAUAUUUGAUCCAAACUGAAGUCUUUGUUAAAAUAGUUGAAAUUAUUGGGAUGUUUGUUGAACAAUUGGAAUAUUGAUUGAAAUAAUUGGAAAGCUUGUUGAAGCGCACUUGAAAUAGAGAUAAAAGAGGACUUGAGAUUUAGUUAUUAUUAUAAAAGUGAUUAAAUAAAAAUUUCAUGAUUUAUUGAAAAAUGUGAUAAAAUUCAAAUUUACAGAAAUUGAAAAAAUUAAUGAAAAAAAAUUUUUAAUGAAAAACUAAAAGCUUUUGUCACAGUCAAGAUUUAAAAUUUGGGUCAGUCGAGGGGAAAUUUACAAGUUAAAAACGUCUACACCGGUAAUAAUAAUAAAGUUCCAUUUAUUAACAAAUAAGAACGUAUACAUUUGUUUGGGACUUUUAAGUCCAUACAAAGGGAGUUCCAAUUAAGUAAAAUUUAUAAUUAAAUAUUUUAUAAUAAAAAUUUGCAUAAAUUUAAAUUGUGAAAAAAUGAAAAUUUGCAAUAUUAUAUUUUAUAUAUUAUUGUUACAUAUGA
This is a long non-coding RNA of Leptopilina boulardi, 1560 nucleotides long. RefSeq lists it as uncharacterized. Lineage: Eukaryota; Metazoa; Arthropoda; Insecta; Hymenoptera; Figitidae. The record is from RefSeq and is a predicted model, not a curated record. The transcript has 4 exons.